AGUGAACGCUGGCGGUAGGCCUAACACAUGCAAGUCGAACGGCAGCACAGUAAGAGCUUGCUCUUACGGGUGGCGAGUGGCGGACGGGUGAGGAAUACAUCGGAAUCUACUUUUUCGUGGGGGAUAACGUAGGGAAACUUACGCUAAUACCGCAUACGACCUACGGGUGAAAGCAGGGGAUCUUCGGACCUUGCGCGAUUGAAUGAGCCGAUGUCGGAUUAGCUAGUUGGCGGGGUAAAGGCCCACCAAGGCGACGAUCCGUAGCCGGUCUGAGAGGAUGAUCGGCCACACUGGAGCUGGGACACGGUCCAGACUCCUACGGGAGGCAGCAGUGGGGAAUAUUGGGCAAUGGGCGCAAGCCUGAUCCAGCCAUACCGCGUGGGUGAAGAAGGCCUUCGGGUUGUAAAGCCCUUUUGUUGGGAAAGAAAAGCAGCAGGUUAAUACCCCGCUGUUCUGACGGUACCCAAAGAAUAAGCACCGGCUAACUUCGUG
Molecule: ribosomal RNA, 492 nt
Filed under: uncultured bacterium
Lineage: Bacteria
Description: partial 16S ribosomal RNA
Rfam family: Bacterial small subunit ribosomal RNA
Source: RNAcentral